RNAcentral lists this small nuclear RNA (180 nucleotides) under Pongo abelii (Sumatran orangutan). The record is from RNAcentral. Lineage: Eukaryota; Metazoa; Chordata; Mammalia; Primates; Hominidae.
AUGGAAAAUUCCACACGUAACUACUUAAUACAGACUUUGUUUCAUGCACAAAAUUAUUGAAAAUACUGAGCCAGUGUUCACUUCAGCAACACAUAUGCUAAAAUCGGAAUGAUACAGAGAAGAUCAGCAUGACCCCUGUGCAAGGAGGUCGUGCAAAUUCACGAAGUGUUUCAUAUUUUU